GACGAACGCUGGCGGCGUGCUUAACACAUGCAAGUCGAACGAUGAAGCCGCUUCGGUGGUGGAUUAGUGGCGAACGGGUGAGUAACACGUGGGCAAUCUGCCCUGUACUUCGGGAUAAGCCUUGGAAACGGGGUCUAAUACCGGAUGGGACUGCCGGCCGCAUGGUCUGGUGGUGGAAAGCUCCGGCGGUACAGGAUGAGCUCGCGGCCUAUCAGCUUGUUGGUGGGGUGAUGGCCUACCAAGGCGACGACGGGUAGCCGGCCUGAGAGGGCGACCGGCCACACUGGGACUGAGACACGGCCCAGACUCCUACGGGAGGCAGCAGUGGGGAAUAUUGCACAAUGGGCGCAAGCCUGAUGCAGCGACGCCGCGUGAGGGAUGACGGCCUUCGGGUUGUAAACCUCUUUCAGCAGGGAAGAAGCCUUAAAAAGUGACGGUACCUGCAGAAGAAGCACCGGCUAACUACGUGCCAGCAGCCGCCGUAAAAC
This 488-nucleotide ribosomal RNA is filed under the name uncultured bacterium. RNAcentral describes it as "bacterial SSU rRNA". It matches the Rfam family "Bacterial small subunit ribosomal RNA", at positions 28 to 526 of the family's 1533-position model. The record is from RNAcentral.